This 56-nucleotide ribosomal RNA is filed under the name Sargassum fulvellum. RNAcentral's name for it is "partial 5.8S ribosomal RNA". RNAcentral also lists the same sequence under 17 other names. The record is from RNAcentral. Lineage: Eukaryota; Phaeophyceae; Fucales; Sargassaceae.
CGAAAACUCGCCCACAGCUUCGGGUUCGAUCUCGACCUCGAGGCGGUGGAGCGGAA